This 78-nucleotide transfer RNA is filed under the name Acidobacteriota bacterium. Its description in RNAcentral is "tRNA-Leu". It matches the Rfam family "tRNA". From Rfam's summary of the family: Transfer RNA (tRNA) molecules are approximately 80 nucleotides in length. Lineage: Bacteria; Pseudomonadati; Acidobacteriota. The record is from RNAcentral.
GCCGGCGUAGCCCAAUUGGCAAGAGGCGCUUGUCUUAGGAACAAGAGGUUGAGAGUUCAAGUCUCUCCGUCGGCACCA